CUAUCCGAGGGUGUGUUUCGAACGAACACUUUUCAAGGGAUGGGUGUCUCUUGAAAAAAAAAAAGAAAGAAGGAAAGAGAGAGGAAAAAUAACCAACCCUGGGGUGCGUACUCUUAUUUCGAAACCGUGGAAUUUAUUGGCACGUCGAGUGCAUCGCGAGGGAUGCAAUGCCAAGGGUAAACACGCGCGAGCGAUAAUUUUCUUUUCGCGCCGAGUCGAGUGUGGAUGGAUCGAGGGGGUUGCGCGCGAGCGAAAAUUCGCCGGAAAUCGGGCUAAAACGGGAUGUGAAUGUGGAUGGAUCGGGAGAUUACCGGCGCGAGAACUAUCGUCGAAUGCGAAUCUCAAUUCGGUUAAAAUUCCACCCGUUUCCCCGAACCGGAAUCCGAAAAGUGGUUUGCCAUACUCUUCUACCGAUCCACUCAUCCUUCCCAGUGCAUUUCUUCCAAGCGGAAGAAGAAGAAGAAGAAAAAGAAACGAGAAAGAAGACGGAAGAAGGAGACAGACAGAUUAAAACGACAGAAGGAGAAAGAGAGAAGGAGAAGCAGGAUGAGAGAGAACGGGUUGGCGGAGAGCGAGCUAGGAAGACGGCUCGCCUGGCUUUAUUAAAAUAUAAUGGCGUUAUCAGCCGAGAAGAGAACGAAGGGAGAGGCGUUAGCUUUAAGAGGGAAGUUUUCUUAAGUGUUCUUAAUUAGAAGGGACCUGUUGCUUCGGAAAAAACCGGGUCACGGCCGUAGACACGCCGACGACGCCUCCCUCCCCCCUCUCCUCCCCUUCCUCCCCCUCUGUUCCUCCUACGCGACGCCCCCUCAGACGCUGCAGACUCGGCCGCCGCAGCACCAGACUCAGGCGACGCGUGCAGCAGAACGUCAGCGACGAGUAACACGCCGGGGAGGUUGAAGAAGGGAAAAUUCUCUGAGGGUUGGAGAUGACGUUUG
Long non-coding RNA from Apis dorsata (giant honeybee), 935 nucleotides. RefSeq lists it as uncharacterized. The transcript has 3 exons. NCBI's taxonomy places the organism in Eukaryota, Metazoa, Arthropoda, Insecta, Hymenoptera, Apidae. The record is from RefSeq and is a predicted model, not a curated record.